Long non-coding RNA from Orbicella faveolata, 538 nucleotides. The record is from RefSeq and is a predicted model, not a curated record. Lineage: Eukaryota; Metazoa; Cnidaria; Anthozoa; Scleractinia; Merulinidae.
GGAAAGUAGAUAUAAAGGUCACGUUUAAUACAUUCUGAAAUAUACUUUGGCAAGAAGCACUAAGAACUUAUCAAAACACAGUCAAUCGAGGCAAAACGAAGCUCUCUGAAGCGAUAAGCCUUUUUUCAGGUUUAAUGGGGUUCAAGUUUUUCAAGCGAACUAACAGCACAAGCCAGCCCCAGGCGAGGAGACGAUCCUUAAGCUUUAGUUUCCGUCGAAGAAGCCGUCAUGGCAGAGAGGAACGGAGUACAGAGAAUGGAAACACUUUAGCAGUUCGGCAGCGAACAAACUCCGAGAAAAGGAGAUCUAGAGAAGUUGGCGAAGCUUUGCGAGCUAUCGGCGAUGAUCUCAACAACAGCACGUUGAGUCUUCACACUGCAACGUAGUGGAUUAGUGGACGAGUGGAAAUAGAUAAAAAAGGAAAUACUUCGCGGCCUUUAUCGCCAGCUUUUGCAGUAUUGAGCAAACCAAGUGAUGAAAGAUCUAGUGCGGUGCAGCAAGCAGAAUUUUUACAAACAUUGAAAGUAGAAACAUGGAC